Molecule: ribosomal RNA, 531 nt
Filed under: Triticum aestivum (bread wheat)
Lineage: Eukaryota; Viridiplantae; Streptophyta; Magnoliopsida; Poales; Poaceae
Description: partial small subunit ribosomal RNA
Source: RNAcentral
CAUGUGAGGUGGGAGGCUCCUCCGAUGGGUUGGUUGAAGCUAAACUUUGACGGAUCCGUCUACCACAACGGGUCCGGCCGGGCGAGCAUCGGCGGCGUCAUCCGCGACUGCAACGGCCACGUCCUCGUCGCCUUCGCCGAGCCGACGGAGCACUCGACGGUGGGGAUAGUGGAGGCGCGAGCACUGAUCCGCGGGCUGCGGCUGGCGAUGAGUUUCUUCCGUGGCGGGCUGGUGGUGGAAGGCGACGACCAGGUGCUGGUGGAGCUCCUGACCGGGAAGGAGACGCAGACCCGCAUACCGCUUUCCAUGCAACAGGAGAUCCGCGCGCUGCUCAAGCAUUUCUCGACGUACCAGCGUCAGCACAUAUACCGCGAGGGCAACCAGGUCGCCCACGUCCUGUGCAAAGAAGCAUACCAGCGGCCGGGGGUGUGGAGGAGCGGGAUUGUGCCGCACGCCGUGUGGGAGAAGGCGCUGGAGGACAUGCAUGGCGUGGCGCAUGAGCGGAUCUGCAAGAAGAAGCAGCUGUGGUAG